RNAcentral lists this transfer RNA (72 nucleotides) under Podarcis lilfordi (Lilford's wall lizard). RNAcentral's name for it is "tRNA.Lys". The stretch from base 4 to 61 matches the Rfam family "tRNA", at positions 8 to 63 of the family's 71-position model. Rfam says of the family: Transfer RNA (tRNA) molecules are approximately 80 nucleotides in length. Their secondary structure includes four short double-helical elements and three loops (D, anti-codon, and T loops). Lineage: Eukaryota; Metazoa; Chordata; Lepidosauria; Squamata; Lacertidae. The record is from RNAcentral.
UUAUGGCUCAGCCAGUAGAGCACGAGACUCUUAACCUCAGGGUUGUGGGUUUGAGCCCCAUGUCGGGCAAAA